AUUGAACGCUGGCGGCAUGCCUUACACAUGCAAGUCGAACGGCAGCACGGGAGCAAUCCUGGUGGCGAGUGGCGAACGGGUGAGUAAUAUAUCGGAACGUGCCCAGUCGUGGGGAUAACGUAGCGAAAGCUACGCUAAUACCGCAUACGAUCUAUGGAUGAAAGCGGGGGAUCGCAAGACCUCGCGCGAUUGGAGCGGCCGAUAUCAGAUUAGGUAGUUGGUGGGGUAAAGGCUCACCAAGCCAACGAUCUGUAGCUGGUCUGAGAGGACGACCAGCCACACUGGAACUGAGACACGGCCCAGACUCCUACGGGAGGCAGCAGUGGGGAAUUUUUGGACAAUGGGCGCAAGCCUGAUCCAGCAAUGCCGCGUGCAGGAUGAAGGCC
RNAcentral lists this ribosomal RNA (386 nucleotides) under uncultured bacterium. RNAcentral describes it as "bacterial SSU rRNA". It matches the Rfam family "Bacterial small subunit ribosomal RNA", at positions 30 to 416 of the family's 1533-position model. The record is from RNAcentral.